RNAcentral lists this long non-coding RNA (403 nucleotides) under Vigna radiata. RNAcentral describes it as "long non-coding RNA (VRAD_LNC013733)". The record is from RNAcentral. Lineage: Eukaryota; Viridiplantae; Streptophyta; Magnoliopsida; Fabales; Fabaceae.
CCCUUGGGAGUGACCUAGAAUAAAGUGGUUAAGGGUUAGUAGGGUUGAGAGUUAGUCUCUACUUAAAUGUGUAAGUUUAAGUUAGAAAAAUAAAAAUAAAAACAAGAGAGAGAGAGAGAGCCGUGAGAGUGAGUGGAGAAACACUACAUUGUUCUAGACCAAUCAAGUUGGUGAGAGAAAGAAGAACAUCCUAGUGUUUGGGUGGUGGUCGUGACUUGAGAGAGUCUUAGAGGAGUGAAGACUUGGAGUCUAGUGAAGGGAGGAAACCUAAGAGCCUUUGGAAGCUUGCUUGCAACUAGAGGUAAGGGGUUUAACUUGGGAUAUAAUAUGGUGUAUGAUGGGUAGAAGGUAACAUGAUAAUGUUGAUGCAUGCUUCCUUUCUUUUGUGUUGAGAUUAAAGUUA